This 253-nucleotide ribosomal RNA is filed under the name uncultured bacterium. Its description in RNAcentral is "partial 16S ribosomal RNA". It matches the Rfam family "Bacterial small subunit ribosomal RNA", at positions 524 to 776 of the family's 1533-position model. The record is from RNAcentral.
UACAGAGGGUGCAAGCGUUAAUCGGAAUUACUGGGCGUAAAGGGUGCGUAGGUGGUUUAUUAAGUCGUAUGUGAAAACCCUGGGCUUAACCUAGGAAUUGCAUAUGAAACUGAUAGGCUAGAGUGCAGUAGAGGGAAGUGGAAUUUCCAGUGUAGCGGUGAAAUGCGUAGAUAUUGGAAGGAACAUCAGUGGCGAAGGCGACUUCCUGGACUGUUACUGACACUGAGGCACGAAAGCGUGGGGAGCGAACAGG